ACUUAUUGGACCCGGGGGCGGUACCCGGCGCCUCCACCAAAAUAUAAUAACAAAAUUAUACUUUGGUGGGGGCGAAAUAGGAUCGACAAGAGUGUAAAGAUUGCUCUUUUACUCGGCAUAGUACCACCGUUAUCGGACUAAAUGAGUAGUUGCAAAUGACAACUAUGCGGAAGCACGUCUCGCCGCUUAAGGUGGUGUGAAUGUUUCAAAUUAAGCCUUAAACCGUCGCAGGUUUAAGCGGGGUUCGGAGG
Molecule: transfer-messenger RNA, 251 nt
Filed under: uncultured Bartonella sp.
Lineage: Bacteria; Pseudomonadati; Pseudomonadota; Alphaproteobacteria; Hyphomicrobiales; Bartonellaceae
Description: partial ssrA
Rfam family: Alphaproteobacteria transfer-messenger RNA
About the family: Bacterial tmRNA, also known as 10Sa RNA or SsrA, is named for its dual tRNA and mRNA-like properties. Its role is to liberate the mRNA from a stalled ribosome.
Source: RNAcentral